CAGUAGCCGCGGGAAUACGAAGGGGGCUAGCGUUGUUCGGAAUUACUGGGCGUAAAGGGCGCGUAGGCGGCCAUUCAAGUUAGAUGUGAAAGCCCUGGGCUCAACCUAGGAAUUGCAUUUGAUACUGUUUGGCUUGAGUUCGGGAGAGGUGAGUGGAAUUCCCAGUGUAGAGGUGAAAUUCGUAGAGAUGUGGAGGAACACCAGUGGCGAAGGCGACUCUCUGGUCUGUAACUGUCGCUGAGGAGCGAAAGCGUGGGGAGCGAACAGGAUUAGAGACCCCCGUAGUCCCUGUCUCUUAUAC
This 301-nucleotide ribosomal RNA is filed under the name uncultured bacterium. RNAcentral's name for it is "partial 16S ribosomal RNA". It matches the Rfam family "Bacterial small subunit ribosomal RNA", at positions 509 to 807 of the family's 1533-position model. The record is from RNAcentral.